Molecule: long non-coding RNA, 2553 nt
Organism: Micropterus salmoides (largemouth bass)
Lineage: Eukaryota; Metazoa; Chordata; Actinopteri; Centrarchiformes; Centrarchidae
Exons: 2
Source: RefSeq, a predicted model, not a curated record
UCCUUCUGCAGUCGCUGGCUCACUUUCCAGCCGCCCUGGCCGACUUCUACCUCUCCGUGCUGCUGGAAGAAGGAAAAGUCGAUUCUGAUUUGGAGUCGGACGAUGACGAAUGGCACUCCUUCACACAGGUACAGGUCAAGAUGGUCUCUGCUGAAAGUGAGAGGAAAAUAACUGAGCUUUAAUGGAAGACAUCAGUCCACUAGUCUGACAAGUCAAGGCUCAUCUUCAGUAAUGGAAAACCAAUGGAUUGCAAAAUCCUUGCCUGUUCUUGCGUAAAGUCUCCAGCACUACCCUGUGCUCUUGUCCAGUAUACUGCAGUGGUAUUAUUCCAAUGAUAGCAGCUUUUUUUUUUUUUUCUUGUUUUCCAGCCUGCAAGCAAUCCCCACAGUGAAAUUCAAUGACACGAUGAUGUGUUACAGUAGCUUUUUAAAAAACAAAUAAAUAAAGGCCUUUUACCUGGCCUGCCUUUUUGCUCAGCCCAAAUUCCAGAAAUACAAAUUCAAGCCUCAACAUGCUGUUUUGGCUCCACAGCGCACCCUUUACUGCAGUCAUAAGAUUAUAGAGUCAGGAGACUCUGCUAUGCAUUAGCUGUUACGGCAAAACACUGUGUUGACAACAAAAGGGAACAAGAUUGUACUUCAUAAUCAACAAUGGAUAACCAUAGCCUCUCUCCUUUUCCCUCCCCUCACCCUCCGCUCAACUUUAGUUACUGAUCAAUAUUCCCCGCCCAGUUCAUCUACAACCACAUUGUCCCAUGAGCCAUUUCGGUGACAAAUGAUAAUUCCAUUAAUGUUUGAAAUACAAUAAUGCUAUUUUAUCAUCACCUCUGUAUGGCACAGAGGCAGAGCACAUUUUGAAUCAUUACAAUGCCUUCUUCUCCUGCUUUAGUCAGUCCGAAGAGAUUGGAUAAUUACCGUUGCUCCACUAUUGAGCUGCUAAUUAAUUCUAUGCUGCAGCCCCACUGAUGGCGUUGAUCCUUGCACCGCACAAAUGUGCUCAUUGAGCUCAGCUAAGCGAGAAUUAUUGUCAAAGGUCUGAAAGUACUCUCAUUGAAACCUGACACCCAUAUGUAUUAGAUUUAGUUCUGAAAUUAAGUCUACUAGGAUGAAAUGUACUGUAUGCUGUAACAAAAGAUGGCAUGUCCAUUAGUCUUUGUGAGUUGGAUUCAUCUGCACGAGAUCUGGGUAUAUUUAUGUCACUGCUUUAAUGCUGGGAUGAUCUUGUCUUUAAGUGGAGUCAAUUCAUAGUGCUUGUAUUACAUCAACAAAUUAAUCCCUUGGAUUAAAUUAACAUUAGAUUUAACUCCACUCUAAUCUGCUUUAGAUGCAAUUCAAGUUCACUCAUCCUUAUAAUGGUGAGUAGGAAAUGGAAAGUAAAACAGAAUAACUACCAAACACUUUUAAUCAAAGACUUUUAGCAGUAUGUAUGGUAAUUCCAACAUGCACAUCCAUACAGAUACACUCUGUAGCCUCCUCCGACAUCUUAAAAUAUGGCAUACAUUAGAGGCAUUAAGGCUCUCCCGCAGCUGUCAUACAUUCAGUAAGAUAGUAAGUGCAGUAAGUUUGGAAAUCCAAAUAAUAAAAUCAGAAAUAAAAUAAAUACAGACAAAGCAAGCACUAAAUUUACGGGACAGAAAUAAAGAAAAGCAGCUUCACAAAUGAACCUAUACAUUAAAAAUGCACACGUCUACUGCAGUGGGACAAAAGCUGAAUGAAGUAAAGUAAAACAAUUAACACAAUUAGAGAAAAGCAGCAGUACUAAAUGAAAAAAUGCAUUUUGAGGAGUUGUUUCAGAACCUGCUGCCACUUCACAACUGGAGUAUGCAUGUAUUUGCAUUUUAAAAGCACUGUUUAUUGCUGUGCAUGUUCAACUGAAAAUUAGGGUCGUCUUUGCAACAGUUUAUCUCAUUUGCAGUCUGUCGCUUGGGGACCAAAUCAGCCAUCAUCUCUUUUGUCACAGCUCAGCUAAUGUUUCAGUUAUACUCGGAAAACACACCUCACUCCAAUACACCAACAGGACAGGGUGGAGUCUUGCUCCAUUGCACAGGCAUGGCAAGCUGGACUGAGUCAUAUUACCCAUGAUGCAUCUCGUGUAGCUGAAGGUGGGGGCAGGGCAUCCCUGGUUUCCCUGAUUUCUCUGUCACUGAAUGGGAGACACCUCUGAGUCAUCGCUGUCACCUGUGAUGUCACUGGUGCAUCAUGAAUAGAGGAAGAGUGUCUCUGCAGUCAGACUAGCAAUUUACGUCACAUCUAACAUCAACAUGUCAGUCAGUAUCAAUGUACCUUUUCAUAGGUAGUUUGUUUUUACAAUAAGCUAUUUCCAACUGGCCACCAGCGACCCUCAUCUUACAAUGUAUUUAUUUCUGGAAAGCAUCACUGUUAAAAAGAGCUUUGCCCCCAUUCUCAGGCAUCCUUACAUGACUUUUCACCCUUCCUCUUUUUAUUCACUCCUAAAAAUUGUCUUUAUAACCCCCUUCACUUUCACCACAGGACAAACUGAACAUCUGGAAUUCAUCAUCUCAUCCAGGAGGAGCCAUAAACAGUGAGAAAUGUU